AUAUUAGGCAUAUUUGCUGGGUCCAGUUUAACUUCCCUGUGGAAGCGAAGUGACUCAUUGAAAAUCUUUUACACAUUGACUGACUUUUAUUUCAAUGCAAUUCACAUUGGCGAGAAAUUAAAGCAAUAACCUAUGUACUGUUAAUCCUGGUUUGUGGUGCCUUAUUACACAGCACAACAUUUACAUUUUAGUUGGUACACACUGGUUUUCCCCUAUGAUGUUACUUGAAUGAAUUUAUUGGUCUGCUUUCUGGCACAUGCUCUCUUCCUGGAUAACUGCCUUUAUUUUAAGAUCAGGCAACUUGUUUCCAGUAACUACUAUACUAAUUGUGUUGACAAUGUAAGACUGAUUUCAAGUACUUCUAUCUAGAAUUUAACAUCUGUGAACUUGUUUUCAGGCCAUAAACACUAUCCAGAGACUGGUUGUAAGUAUUUUUAUCUAGAAUUUAGCAUCUGUGAACUUAAUAUUAGACCAAGGAUACUAAUCAGAGACUGGUUAUAAGUAUAAUUAUCUAGAAUUUAGCAUCUGUGUGAACUUAUUAUUAGACCAAGGAUACUAAUCAGAGACUGGUUAUAAGUAUAAUUAUCUAGAAUUUAGCAUUUGUGAACUUAUUAUUAGACCAAGGAUACUAAUCAGAGACUGGUUAUAAGUAUAAUUAUCUAGAAUUUAGCAUCUGUGAACUUAUUAUUAGACCAAGAACACUUACCAGAGACUGCUUAAUUCUAGUCUAGAGGCAGCUUAUUUUAAGACAACUUGUCAAGAAAAGUUAACUUCAGAUAAUUGACAGAUAAUUUCACUACUUUUAAGCCAUUUUCUGAUAGAUUUAAGUGUUUAUAUCUUGAAUUUUGACCAAGCUUUUUUGCAGUGUAUAGGUCAUUUUCAGGGAUGUUCACCAAGGCCAGAGGAAAGAGGCGCUUUCCCACCCCAACACUUGUCCCCAAGAAGUUGAAGCCAUUAGAGGUGGCUUUCUAUUUGCUUCCAAAGCAGUGUGAGAAGACCCAGAAGGAGGGGGACCAAAUUCUCCAUCUCCAAGCAGGGUUAGGCCGCAGGACUGCUCAUCUGGAUGAAGCUUCAAAUCACGAAGAGUUAUGUGAGGCCCUAAACAUUAUUUUUCCCAAACUGAGGAAUGUUUCCGGUGGGUGGCUGGUUUAUAAAGCUUCAGCUGGAUGGGGUUGCCGAAAAACCACGCUUGUGCCUCCUGAAGAUAGUGGCUAUUCAGGCAGGAUCCUAAAGUUUGCAAGUCGUAGGGUCAAAAAUCUCUUCAUAGCCCCAAUUCAGGAAGAACUGAGCAUAAGUCCCCUACAGUUGGAUGACGAGUCUUUCAGGAACAUGCCGAAAGCAGACUGUCAGAAGUGUGGACUACCAGUUCCGCUUCCAUUGAUGAUAUAGUCAUUGAAGAGAGAGAAAGUAAGAAUUAUUACCUCUCUCCAUCUGACCAGGCCCGUCAUGCACUCACUCUGCUUCUAAAUAUCUGGGCGGUAUGAAUGCCUAGUUUGAGUGCACCCUAAGAUAGCAUAUUAUAUAGCAUUUUUAAAACAAAAUAAUUCUGAAUCCUUUUGUUCUAAAAUAACACUGUUCUUGCUUGUAACUUCAAUUUCUCAACAGCAGAUAUGCAGGAAUGUUUGCACACAAAUAUUCCCAACAGAUUUUAUUGAGGCACACGCUUCGGCCUGCGAGGAGAGGCAUCCAUUUACUUGUUUGUCCUUUUUCUCUAACCAACUAUUGUCUUACUCUUUGUGCAAGUGUAAUACAAAAUAUUUGUAUGUGGCUAGUGCAGGGAAUGAAGUGAUGCAUGCAAGUAUGAUCAGUGAGGAAGAAGCAGCAAUACCUGGAACAUCCGGAAGAGAUAGAGAUAGAGAUGGAGGUGAGGAUGCUUAGGCCCGUGUUCUCUGAACGCCAUUCCCCUCUCUGCCCCAUUUAAUCUUUUUUUUCUUAUUAGGCUGGUUCACCAUUGCUGACCCCGCCAAGGCCAUAGCGCAGUGUGUGGAGAAUGAACUCAGCCUUCACAAGGAGGAGAAUCCAUUACAGCUAAGCAUGGACAUAAGAAGUAGUCCUACCGAACAGGACAUGGCCCUGAUCUCCUUUUACAAGCCGCCAAAUGUGGAAUGGGGACGACCCCUGAACAGCAGACUUGAAGGUUGCUCCAACAUCAAGUUUCAGUUGUCAAAUUAAUAAUUUCAAGUAUUUCCUUAUCUUUAUUCUGUCAAACUGUUUCACAGGAGAUACUGCUAUUUGCCAGGGUGUGACUCGCUUUUUUUUGUCCAUUGAAAAGCUGAAGUCUGGAUUUGCCAUACAUUUUGGUAUGUAUUUUAGGUGUAUGGCAUCCUUGUAAAUGCUCUUUUUGUUUAAUGACUUUCA
Molecule: long non-coding RNA, 2358 nt
Organism: Gadus macrocephalus (Pacific cod)
Lineage: Eukaryota; Metazoa; Chordata; Actinopteri; Gadiformes; Gadidae
Exons: 3
Source: RefSeq, a predicted model, not a curated record